GAUGAACGCUGGCGGCGUGCCUAAUACAUGCAAGUCGAGCGAACGGACGAGAAGCUUGCUUCUCUGAUGUUAGCGGCGGACGGGUGAGUAACACGUGGAUAACCUACCUAUAAGACUGGGAUAACUUCGGGAAACCGGAGCUAAUACCGGAUGAUAUUUUGAACCGCAUGGUUCAAAAGUGUAAGACGGUCUUGCUGUCACUUAUAGAUGGAUCCGCGCUGCAUUAGCUAGUUGGUAAGGUAACGGCUUACCAAGGCAACGAUGCAUAGCCGACCUGAGAGGGUGAUCGGCCACACUGGAACUGAGACACGGUCCAGACUCCUACGGGAGGCAGCAGUAGGGAAUCUUCCGCAAUGGGCGAAAGCCUGACGAAGCAACGCCGCGUGAGUGAUGAAGGUCUUCGGAUCGUAAAACUCUGUUAUUAGGGAAGAACAUAUGUGUAAGUAACUGUGCACAUCUUGACGGUACCUAAUCAGAAAGCCACGGCUAACUACGUG
This 497-nucleotide ribosomal RNA is filed under the name uncultured bacterium. RNAcentral's name for it is "partial 16S ribosomal RNA". It matches the Rfam family "Bacterial small subunit ribosomal RNA", at positions 28 to 507 of the family's 1533-position model. The record is from RNAcentral.